UGUGGUUAUAAUAGCAGAGAAGAUACACCUGUUUCCAUUCCGAACACAGAAGUUAAGUUCUCUAGCGCUGAUGGUACUUGGUGGGAAAUUGCCUGGGAGAGUAGGGCAUAGCCACGU
This 117-nucleotide ribosomal RNA is filed under the name Clostridioides difficile. The record is from RNAcentral. Lineage: Bacteria; Bacillati; Bacillota; Clostridia; Peptostreptococcales; Peptostreptococcaceae.